This 247-nucleotide ribosomal RNA is filed under the name uncultured Actinomycetes bacterium. RNAcentral describes it as "uncultured actinobacterium partial 16S ribosomal RNA". It matches the Rfam family "Bacterial small subunit ribosomal RNA", at positions 30 to 276 of the family's 1533-position model. The record is from RNAcentral. Lineage: Bacteria; Bacillati; Actinomycetota; Actinomycetes.
AUUGAACGCUGGCGGCGUGCCUAACACAUGCAAGUCGAGCGGUAAGGCCCUUUCGGGGGUACACGAGCGGCGAACGGGUGAGUAACACGUGGGUGACCUGCCCUCAGCUCUGGGAUAAGCCUGGGAAACUGGGUCUAAUACCGGAUAUGACUCCAUGACGCAUGUUGUGGGGUGGAAAGCCUUGUGCGGCUGAGGAUGGGCCCGCGGCCUAUCAGCUUGUUGGUGGGGUGAUGGCCUACCAAGGCGA